This 225-nucleotide ribosomal RNA is filed under the name uncultured eukaryote. Its description in RNAcentral is "partial 18S ribosomal RNA". The record is from RNAcentral.
UGGUGGAGUGAUUUGUCUGGUAAGUAUCACUAUGUAUGAAACAUUUACUUUAACUAUUCUGGUUAUGUUUGCGAUUGAUUCUAACUAGCUCGUAUCAUCGUUCUUUGUCUACAGGUUAAUUCCGUUAACGAACGAGACCGCUGCCUGCUAAAUAGUCCAGUGAGUGAAUUUCACUGACCGGGACUUCUUAGAGGGACGUGCAUUCUAUUAGAUGCAGGAAGAUAG